Long non-coding RNA from Canis lupus familiaris (dog), 574 nucleotides. RefSeq lists it as uncharacterized. The record is from RefSeq and is a predicted model, not a curated record. Lineage: Eukaryota; Metazoa; Chordata; Mammalia; Carnivora; Canidae. The transcript is spliced from 4 exons.
GGGUGGGGCAGGCACAGCGGCCGCGCGUCCUCGCCGGGUCCCGCGGAGCCCGGGGCUCGCAGUCGCUCGGGGCCCCAGAUUCCCAGGCGGCGACGGAGACAACUGGCGAGCUCGCCGGAAGCUCAGUGGCCACCGCGGCCGGAGGCCACGCCGCCGCUGGGACACCACUCUGGAGACUGCCUCCUCCCAAGUAUGUAAGGAGAAGUGUGAUUUAAUUAUCAAGCCAGAGAAAAAGAAGGAACCUCAUGAAUGGUGGCAAUUUUCAUCUUUUAGGAGUGCUUUUUAGCCAGUCAUGGAGUCUUGAAGAUUGACCUGACAUCAUGACUCUUAAAUCCAUCUCCUUUCCUCCACCCUUGUCUUUAGUCUAUGAACCCAUGAAUUCUUCAUGUGGCAGGCAGAGUGAUCUCUCUAAAGGCCUGUGUAUCUGGUGAAUGCACAUCUUCCAUCAAGACUCAGAUCAACUGGAUGCCUGCCUUCAGCUCAGGGCAUGAUCCUGGGAUCAAGCCCUGCAUUGGGCUCCUUCGUAGGGGAGCCUGCUUCUCCCUCUGCCUAUGUCUCUGCCUCUCUCUUUCUA